CUGGCUCAGAUUGAACGCUGGCGGCAGGCCUAACACAUGCAAGUCGGACGGUAGCACAGAGAGCUUGCUCUCGGGUGACGAGUGGCGGACGGGUGAGUAAUGUCUGGGGAUCUGCCCGAUAGAGGGGGAUAACCACUGGAAACGGUGGCUAAUACCGCAUAACGUCGCAAGACCAAAGAGGGGGACCUUCGGGCCUCUCACUAUCGGAUGAACCCAGAUGGGAUUAGCUAGUAGGCGGGGUAAUGGCCCACCUAGGCGACGAUCCCUAGCUGGUCUGAGAGGAUGACCAGCCACACUGGAACUGAGACACGGUCCAGACUCCUACGGGAGGCAGCAGUGGGGAAUAUUGCACAAUGGGCGCAAGCCUGAUGCAGCCAUGCCGCGUGUAUGAAGAAGGCCUUCGGGUUGUAAAGUACUUUCAGCGGGGAGGAAGGCGACGGGGUUAAUAACCCUGUCGAUUGACGUUACCCGCAGAAGAAGCACCGGCUAACUCCGUGCCAGCAGCCGCGGUAAUACGGAGGGUGCAAGCGUUAAUCGGAAUUACUGGGCGUAAAGCGCACGCAGGCGGUCUGUUAAGUCAGAUGUGAAAUCCCCGGGCUUAACCUGGGAACUGCAUUUGAAACUGGCAGGCUUGAGUCUUGUAGAGGGGGGUAGAAUUCCAGGUGUAGCGGUGAAAUGCGUAGAGAUCUGGAGGAAUACCGGUGGCGAAGGCGGCCCCCUGGACAAAGACUGACGCUCAGGUGCGAAAGC
RNAcentral lists this ribosomal RNA (750 nucleotides) under Pantoea sp. Wr1L15. RNAcentral's name for it is "bacterial SSU rRNA". It matches the Rfam family "Bacterial small subunit ribosomal RNA", at positions 19 to 760 of the family's 1533-position model. The record is from RNAcentral. Lineage: Bacteria; Pseudomonadati; Pseudomonadota; Gammaproteobacteria; Enterobacterales; Erwiniaceae.